GCCGCAUCGAUGGCCCAUUGUGAGCCCAGCUGCGUUCAGGGAGAGUCCAGCCACCUCAUUCGUCAUCGACGACGCCGACCGCCGGCCAAGCCGUCGCGCGCGAGGGCCACGGCGAGCAUCCACCGGGAGAGGCAUCGAUGACACCGGCCACGGCAUGGAGAGUAUAGGCUGGAAGCAACACAAGCAUUUUCAUCUGUGGAGCAAAGCAAAACAAAGACAGGCAUAAGCUAUCUUAAACAUGUAGUUAACCAAACCAACAAGCUAAGGUGAUGGAACUAAACAUUGGCAUGCUUGUAGUGGGUUUGGUCUUGCGAAUAUUCCAAUCUCUGAUUAUGUCUUGAGACUACCAUAAAAAAAUGCUUUUGAAGUGCUGGCUUCUGUUUCCUCUGGACAUGAGCACAUCCAUUUCUUUAUUGCCAUCAUAUCAAAGAGUAGUCUACCCGUCCUUUCUAGAUAAUCUAAGCUAGCAUGCAUCAUGACAGGCAAGAAAUUUGUUCAUCACCAUCGAUUGAUCCUUUAAGUUACUUCCUUGCUGGCCACAGUGUUUCAGUGCCCUCUCUCGCAAUGCCAUCUCACAAAGAGUUUUCAUCAGCCACCUUGUUCCACAAGAUAACAAAUGAUUGGAUGAUUAUUAUACUCGGUAUGUUAUCACUAGUUUUCUAUAAGGUUAAUCUGUACUUUUGUCUACAGAAACCACAUUAUGUUCAUAUUAUGUGCAAAUCUGUGGAAUACAUGGCACGGAACAUAGUGAUGAUGAAUUUGUUCCCAACAUUCAUAUUUUGUCCCUUUCUUGCGAGUACAACCUAUCAUGGUAAUGCCUCAAUGAGAUUAUCAUAUUUUUGUUAUAUUCUUUUUGUUUAUACGCUGAUAUAUCGCACUAAAAGUGAUCAAAUUCUCUUUAUUUUAGGGCAUAUUUAUGUUCCCUUGACUGGAUUGCCAUGGCAUGGAUUAAAUCUGUUCAGGUCACGCAAUCACCAGACUAACGAUCAUGCACUCAAUAGAGAUAAAAUUAUAAUAGUUCAUGUACAUGUCAUCUAACCAAUUUCAUAGUCAAAUCCUGGCACCCAAAAAAUGGCUUAUCCAAGAAAAAUGAACAUUUAUCUUAUUUCGAUCUGCAAUAGUUUUAGUUUCUUACCUAACUGAUUAGACAUGCAUGCACAUAGUGGAGUUUGACUUCUUGUUUUUGCUAACUAUUUACAGUACACUUAUUGAUACAGUUUGUGCCACAUUUACCACUUUGUAAUGCCUAGACAGCGGUGACAGUUCAAAGUUGGAUAUGCACUUCAGUACAGGAUCUAGUCCCUUUUCAUUGGACCAUUCAAGGGCAUCUUAUUGCAAAUCCUUGUGUCCACUCUAAAAUUUGGGUGCUGAUAAAGGCGAGGUUCUUUCCCUUCCCAACUUGCUUACAUUUCACCAUCUUUGAGAAGGUUGCAUUAUGUUUCUUUUCAAAAAAGAAGAGACAAUAUGGUGGUUAUGUUUACGUUUUAGACUUUUAGUCUAUUGAUUAAUUUACCAUAGAAAUUGCAGCAUAGUCUCGAAAGUGUUAGCAUGGGUAGUGCACCACACUACGGGUGAGAAAAUAUAGAAAUAAGUCACGAGAUUGAUUUGGAAAGGUUGGUUUCGUAACUCCUAAAGCAAACUCACCAUUUAAAAAAUGGUUGGCUGUUGUUCGAAAAAACUGGUCAUUUGAUUAUAAUCAUGCGGCAAGUUUCAAGAUUUUGUGUUCAGGACAUACAUAUAUGAUAAGGAACUUUAAUUAUACAUUUCCAAACAGAUGGGCAGUCAAGUGUGUUGCUCCUGCAAUUCAACUGAAAGUAUACAAAAUGAUUUCUUUGAUUGCAUUUCGCUAAAUUUAUUUGGGGAAAGUAGAGUUAAUUUUUAUCCUAAUCCGUCUAUUUCUUCCUUUUCUCAUAUAUGUCUGUAAACUGACUAAAUGGGGACUAGUGCAUUACCUUGGCUAAAAUUCUAUGUUGUAAUGAUGUGUUUUUAAGAAGAGGCAUCUUUCGGUGAUUGGAAAGGUGGGAUAUACUUUUUCUAUUUUGGUAAGGUAACAAGAGCUACUGAGAUAUACUUUUUCUAUUUUGGUAAGGUAACAAGAGCUUCCGAGAUAUACCUUUUCUAUUUUGGUAUGGAUUUCACCUAUUUUGGUACCGAUUGGUAC
Long non-coding RNA from Panicum virgatum (switchgrass), 2161 nucleotides. RefSeq lists it as uncharacterized. The transcript is spliced from 3 exons. NCBI's taxonomy places the organism in Eukaryota, Viridiplantae, Streptophyta, Magnoliopsida, Poales, Poaceae. The record is from RefSeq and is a predicted model, not a curated record.